GGGGGCGUGAGGACAGAUGGCAAGUCCACAAGUGGUUGUGUUUGUGACUCUUUAUUAUCUGCCUGUACUGUCUUCAGCACCUUGCACUUAUUAACUCAUUUAAUUCCACAAUUACAGCAUGGGAGAGUAUUACUGUUAUCCCAUUUCAUGAGUAGGAACUGAGGCACAGAGAGGUUUAGUGGUUUAUUUCAGGUCACGCAGCUACUAAGUAAGAUUUGAAUCCACAAAAUCAGGCUCCAUACUCCAUGUUCCUAACCCGUACUGAAUGUACCAGGCACUAUGCUAGGCCAUGGGGUUGCCGCCAGGAGGAACAACACAUAGUCACCUCCUCAAGGAAGGUCAGGGUCCCCCUUCUGAGUUCUCGAGCCUUCCGUACCUGUGCUUACGUUUAUUGCACGUACCCUGUCGUGUUUACAUGCACCUCGCGUGCACCUCUUACGCAGUAGGAGUCGACACUGUUGGUUUCCCUCUCGCUGUGUUUUGGGGUCCAGUUACAAGUGCUUACAUGGAGCGGGUUGGUGGGGGUUUUGAGUGAUAGGACACGGUGUCGGGAGGUGCUCGGCACACCCGAGUCUCCCUGCAAAGUACUUGGUGAUCGUCCAGUUAAAUGGGCUGAAACGGCGCAGGCUUGAGGGCUGGACCCUUUAUAAUAGUGCUUGCUUCUGCCUGUCCGAAUCACUGUCCGUGCGCUGGAGUUCCCGGAGCUGAGGGCGAGUUCACUGUGUCUGUCAUCGAAUCAUUUCCAGAACCGCUUGUGGCCACGGCGCCUUCGCUCAGAGGUGCAGGGCUGCCCCUCACCUCCUCUCCCUCCUGGGGUGCCUGUGCUCACCGUCUUGCUGUAAGUGGCUGAAGGGCUUAGUGGAGAAUGCUGAGCUCCCCGCCACACAAGUGUCCGCUGUCCUCACGUUCAUUGCCUACAUGUCAUGACCCUUUCAGACUGGGCUCCUGCAUUUGAAGCCUUGAGGUAAAGGUGAAAAGUAAGAAAAAAAAGCGUCACGGUUGGAAAUAAAAACGUGCAGUGGGGAGGUUUCCAGAGUAAUACAAAACAGCUUUAUAUUUUAGAAGAUUUUAAGCAGGGUCUGGUUCGAGGCAGCGUGCCCUGAGUUCCCAUCACCCAUCGCGGCUGUGUUCUGAGGCUCAGGACUGCCUUCAGGGGAUUCCGGGAAAGCAGCUGACGGCCUGACACUGACGUGUGAUUGCUCCUGGUAGGUGGCAUAGCCGGCGGGCAGCGUCCAGCACCGGGUGGGCGCUCAAGGGGAAGCCAACGUGAAUAGGGACGGAGAGGCAGAGGGGACGUUGAAGACUGUAUACUCAGCUGACAUUUAUUGAGCACCUACUGUGUGCCAGUUGCUUGUAAAUCUAUUAUUUCAAAUAAACCUCACCAGAAGCCUGUGAGGAAAAUACUACAUUACAGAAGAGGAAGUUGACACUCGAAGAAAUUCAUGGCUUGCCUGUCUCCCAGGGAGGAAGCGGCAGGGUCUGCCUUGGAAGUCGGGUCUGACUCCAGGUUCUGCGUCUGGUUCGCUGCAGCCCCUGCUUUUCCUGUGUGCCCGCUGUCGCUGAUCUCACAGCUGGAGGCGGACCAGAGGGGCCUUCCAGAUCAACUCAGCCCGGGUUUCUCUGCCUCUGUUAUAAUUCAGGUCACCACAGAUGAACCCCAAAACCUCACACUUUCUUUUUAUGAGUUUGAAGUUCAAAAUAAUUUAAAUAUCAUGAUUCAAAACAAAUCAAAGCAAAGGGACAAUGUUUUCAGUAUUUUGUUUUUAGAGGAAAUAAGCCUCCCCAGAGCUCCGGGUUCGCGGCCCUCGCCUCCGCCCUCCACCCGCCCGGCGGAGAGCUGCUCGUCCUCGCCCCCACCCGCUGGUCACCGACUUCCCGGGAAGUUGAGCCCAGAGAGGAGGAAAUGGCCAGUGACAUGGCCAGCAUUUGAAGUCAGUUCUCUGCCUCCGACUGUGGUCUCUUGCCUUCACCUCUGCUCUCUCUCAGCCUGCUCUCGCCACGCCCAGGCCCGGGUCUGCGCUCCGGGCAGACGCCAUCCCCCAGUUCCAGAAUGUGUCGCCCCCAGGCCUGCGCUCGGCCCGUUCCUCCGCCCGGAUCGCCGCCCUCCUCCUCCUGUUUGCGGCGUGAACUCCAUUCCUCCAGAUCCGGCUGAAAGGCAGCUCCCUCGAGAAGUUUUUCUGGACUCCCACCUGCAUCCAAAUAAAGGGGCGGAUUCCUCUUUCCUGCCUGGCGUGAAGAUUGCCUCCCGCGUGUGUUAACACGUAAAUGGGGUUCGCCAGUCUCUCUCCCUCUUAAUCGCUUAUGACCUCCCUGGGCAUCCCCCCGCCGCUGCCAAAACUCUGCGGGUGGGGCGGGCCCGCAGUUGCGCGUGUUUUGCGCAGAGUGCCGGCGCGAGCGAGCGCUCAGCGGACGCGGGUGAGGUCCGCGCCGCCCCGCGCGCUGGGUCCCAUCCCGUCCGUGUCCUUCACGGCGAUCGUUGUCUUCGCCGGGCUGCGAGCCUCGGGGGCGACUGUCCUCUGCAGGAAUCAGGGAGCCUCUGCUGGCUUUCCAGCCGGAGAGUUUCUUGAUCCACAGGCAGCACAGAGACUUGCUCACGGACUGAAGUUGUGGGCCGCCCGGUGUCCAGGCCCGCGCCUUUGGCGUCUGUCCCUGGAAGGGCUUCGUGUUACACAGAGGAGGCUGGGGAGGAGAAGCGCUUUGCCUUCAUUCUCUGUUUAUUCAAGAACGUUGCCCGCUGCUGCCUAGGAGCUGUUCUGGGCACCAGCGCUGUAGCAGCGAGCGAAGCGGAGAAAACAUGGCUCGUGGCGUUUUCAUUCCCCUGCGGGAUAUGGACAAUCAAUAAAGAAAUAAAUCUAUCAGUCCAGAUGGUAAUAGAUAUUAUGAAGAAAGAGCAGGGACCACCACAGACCCAGAGGAGCACGGGCAGACCCCUUUAGACUCAAGGUGAAGAAGGGCUGCUCGAAGAAGCCGCGUCUGGAGAGCUGUGAAUGGGAAGUGUGUUCCAGGCAGAGGGGCAGCAUUUGCAAAGGCCCUGAGGUGGAAAUAAGCUGGGUGCCUAGAGGAACAGCAAGGUGGCUGGAGAGGCAGCACGGACAGUGCCUGCGCUGGGUCCCGGGUGGUGCUCUGUGGCCCCUGCUGGGGUCAGAGGAGAAUUUGGAGGUUCUGGAGAAGCUUCCAGCCGGCUGCUCUGUUGUUCUCUGAAUGCAGACGGUGGUGGAGCCCUGUCUUGGCCCGCAGCCGUUAGGAUAUUUCUCAGGGAAAGCCCUUGGACCAAGAAGUCUGUUUUUUCGUUGGAAACUAUGAGACUCUCUGCAAAAACAAAGGAAUUUGGAUUCUGUUCAGGAAAAAUGUAACCUACAAACAAAUAGCCUUGGAAAAUCUGUGCCUCCCCCUCGGUGCCUGGGUCAGGCACAGGGACAGCCCCACCCCCGAGCUGCUUUCGAGCUGGAGGCCACCUCCUUUUUCCUCUUCUGUGUGUUGUCUCUGGCUGCCCAGAGGGCAGUGCCUCCUCUCCAUGCCUUCCCCUGCCCUGCCGCCCAGGGCCCCUGUCUCUGCAGUGCCCUUGAUCUGGUUGGAAUGCUCUUCCCUUCCCUCGCUGCAACCCUUCCUCAUUCUUUAAGACCCAGUUCCAAUGUCUCCCCUCCGGUUCUGAGUUCCCCAGGUGGCUAGUUGCUCUGCUAUUAUGUUGCUCUGAAUAAUUUCGAAUUUAAAUAUACUUCCCUUUUCUUUCAGAUAGCAAUCCCUGAUUUUAUUCUUUUAGGAAAUAUGGUAAUAAUACUGACUGCCACUCUUAAACUCUUGCUAUGUGCCAAGCGGGGUUGUACAUUAUGGUACCCACUGCAUGCGCAAAGUGAUUAGGAAAAAACUGGCACAUAGUGAGGAGUCAGUAAAAGUUACUUCUUAUUAUCCUUCUUUUAUCUUAAUUCUCGCAUAGCACUUGCAGCAAGUAAGAUUUGUCAUGCACAUUAUGAUGAUCGGGUUCCUCGUCUGUGAGCUCCUUGAAGGUGGGGACUGUGUCUUCUUGCUUGUCCAAGUCUGUGGACGUGCAAAGGGUGUUUGGUGAGUGAACAUUUAGCCAUUGAAACUGAUGACUGAGUGCCGAGAUUUACUUUGUGAGUUUCCAAAUCAACUGAGAGUGGCUUUGGCCUUAAGAAUAGGUAUGGGGACUCAGAAGAUCUGGGCUUAAUUCUAUUCCAGCUACCUGCCAGCUUUGUGACCUUGGGUACAUCAGCCAAUCUUUUCUGAACCCAAAAACCUAUUUUUCAAAAUGGGUGUCAUAGUCCCUAACUUGCCUUCCUCACAGGUUUUCCUUGAGCGUCAGAUGAGCUCACACAUAGGAGAGUUUUGUGAAUUGUAAAGUAUUUUACACACGUGAGACAUUAUUGUUGGAAUCAUUUUGGACCCCGUGCCAUCACCACCAAACGUGGCAGAAUAUGAGCCCUCGGGUAGCUCUAGCUGGACAAAUAGCAAUGUGCUGCUUUUGGUUUUCACAGUGUUUAAAAAUGUAGUCCCGUAAUGUUUGUAACCGGUGUUUCUUCUCCUCAAAGCAUGCAUCCAAGGUAUUAGUCUCAGUCCUUUUAAAGGUUUUAAAAAGGGCCUUGAUUUUCCUGCUUGGCUGCUGUAAAAUCUAUAACCCUGAACGUCACGGUGACGUUCUCUCUCAGGAAACGUCCGCAAGAAUUGUAACUGAACAAAAACAGUAUUUAUUUUCCUUUUUAAUUCAAGAAGCUAAAUGCUAGGGAGUAGAAGGAGAGAUGAGAAGAAGUGUAAGAGAUGGGCUUGCUCUCAGGGAGCUCACAGGCUGGUUUGGGAGCCGGGUCUGGGUCCUAGGCUUGUGGGCAAAGGACGUGAUCUGAGGAAGGAGAGACCUGCAGUGUUGAGGUGGUCUGUGAAGGUUGCAGGGAGAAAGCGGGCCUGUGUUAAGCUUAAAGGAAGACCAUUGUUUGGACCACGACCCUGGGAGCAUAAUUCAUAAGCCAGGGCCCGGCCGCUGACUACUGCUGCUCUCAGUUCCCCUUUCAGCAGGAUUGUGAUUUCUUUAGUUCUUGGGGGCUCAGGAGGAAGACAUGAGGACGUUCUAGACAUGCACUCACGGACAAACGUCUGAAUCCAAAAAACUAAUAUUUUGUGACCGAUGCUUUCAUGAUGAGGAAAUAAAAACUCCUUACUUUUUUUUUAAAAAACGUUUUGGCCGUGAUGUACUUGGCUUAAAAGAUGUCAGAAAGAAAGCCGUUUAUAGAGAAUCGUAAUACUCUAACUUCAGCAUAACGCUAACAACAAAGGUGCCCCUGGAUCGCUAAGGUUAACACACACUGCUGAGAAUAUGGGAUGGCAGUAACAAGAACCCAAAGAAGGAAAUAUUAAAAAUACGCAAUUAGGAACUAUUUAGGAAAGAAAGUGAGAACACCAGGUCUGGAAAUGUAUACAACACAGCCAAAGCCGUAGUCAGAGGUAAAUUCAAAGCAUUAAUGCUAUCACUUAAGAAUAAGAAUAAAUGAAAAGAAAGUAACUACAUGUCUAACUUAAGAAUUUAGAAAAUGGGGGCCGGCCCGGUGGCGCAGCGGUUAAGUUCACACGUUCUGAUUCUCGGUGGCCCGGGGUUCAGUGGUUCGGAUCCUGGAUGCGGACAUGGCGCCGCUUGGCACGCCCUGCUGAGGUAGGCGUCCCACGUAUAAAGUAGAAGGAGAUGGGCAUGAUGUUAGCUCAGGGCCAGGCUUCCUCAGCAAAAAAGAGGAGGACUGCCAGUAGUUAGCUCAGGGCUAAUCUUCCUCAAAGAAAGAAAUAAAUAAAAGAAUUUAGAAAAUGGGCAGCAAAACAAGACCAAGAAAAGCAAGACAAUAAAAAAUACAAGGAUGAUAAGUGAAUUAGAAAAUCAACAAAGUAGGAGAAUUCGUAAAUAAAUCCAUAAGAUGGUUCUUUGGAGGGCAACGUAAAAUAGGAAAACCUCUAGAAAAUCUGCUUAAGAGAAAAAAAUCAAAUAACUAAUAUCUGAAAAAUUUCUACUGUUUGUAAAGCAUGUCCCCAUUCCGUAUCACUCUUGGUCGCUAAGCUAAUCCUGUCUGUUAUAUAUUUGUAUCCCUAUUUUGCUAGUGAUCAAACUGAGAAUCAAACAAGUGAGGUUACUUUUUAGGGUCAUACAACUAGUGAGUAGUUAAAGCCGUGAUUUGAAGCAGGUCUGCUAACUUUGUUGAAUAUUCUUCCAAUCAUCCCAUAGCAUCCUCUCAGGAUGAAUUCAAGAAAGGAAGAGUGGAACAUUUAGCAUGUCUCCGUUGGUCUCCUGGGACCGCCGUAACACAUCACCACGCAUUCCUGCUGGCUUGGAGCAAUAGGAAUUUCUUCUGUCACAGUUCUGGAGCCUAGAAGUCCAAAACCAAGUUGUGAGCAGGGCCAUGCUCCCUCUGAAGGCUCUCGGGGAGAGUCCUCGCUGUCUCUCCCAGCCUCUGGAGGUGGCCGUAGUCCUUAGUGUCCUCGACUUGCAGCUCUAGCAUCUAACUUCUGCCCCCAUCUUCCCAGGGUUUUCUCCCUCUGUGUCUUGACUUUGUCUCCAUCUGCGCAUAUGUCUCCUCUGUUUUCCCUUCUUGUGAGGAGUUAGUUUUCCAAAUCUACAAUUUUCCUUUCAGUAUAACUUCAUCUUAAUUGUGUCUGCUAUGACCCUAUUUCCAAAUAAAGUUACAUUCUGAGAUUCUGUGUUGACAUGAAUUUUUUGGGGGGAAACCAUGCAACCCAGUACAAUGUCCUUAUUUCUUCUGAGCGUGGUUUCAGAAAUCUUCGUUGUG
This is a long non-coding RNA of Equus caballus (horse), 6776 nucleotides long. The record is from Ensembl. NCBI's taxonomy places the organism in Eukaryota, Metazoa, Chordata, Mammalia, Perissodactyla, Equidae.